This 216-nucleotide ribosomal RNA is filed under the name Glomeromycotina sp. Its description in RNAcentral is "partial small subunit ribosomal RNA". The stretch from base 40 to 216 matches the Rfam family "Eukaryotic small subunit ribosomal RNA", at positions 686 to 864 of the family's 1831-position model. The record is from RNAcentral. Lineage: Eukaryota; Fungi; Glomeromycota.
GGGUCAGUAGGCUGGUCGUGCCACCGGUACGUACUGGUCUCACUGAUUCCUCCUUCCUGAAGAACCGUAAUGCCAUUAAUUUGGUGUUACGUGGAAACAGGACUGUUACUUUGAAAAAAUUAGAGUGUUUUAAGCAAGCUAACGCUUGAAUACAUUAGCAUGGAAUAAUGAAAUAGGACGAUCGAUCCUAUUUUGUUGGUUUCUAGGAUUGACGUA